GUAGUCCACGCAGUAAACGAUGAUUACUCGCUGUUUGCGAUAUAUUGUAAGCGGCUUAGCGAAAGCGUUAAGUAAUCCACCUGGGGAGUACGCCGGCAACGGUGAAACUCAAAGGAAUUGACGGGGGCCCGCACAAGCGGAGGAACAUGUGGUUUAAUUCGAUGAUACGCGAGGAACCUUACCCGGGCUUGAAAUGCAGACGAAUAAUGUGGAAACAUGUUAGCUAGCAAUAGCGUCUGUGUAGGUGCUGCAUGGUUGUCGUCAGCUCGUGCCGUGAGGUGUCGGCUUAAGUGCCAUAACGAGCGCAACCCUCAUCGAUAGUUACCAUCAGGUAAAGCUGGGGACUCUAUCGAGACUGCCGCCGUAAGGUGAGA
This 374-nucleotide ribosomal RNA is filed under the name uncultured bacterium. Its description in RNAcentral is "bacterial SSU rRNA". It matches the Rfam family "Bacterial small subunit ribosomal RNA", at positions 790 to 1167 of the family's 1533-position model. The record is from RNAcentral.